This 2530-nucleotide long non-coding RNA is filed under the name Pelobates cultripes (western spadefoot toad). The record is from RNAcentral. Lineage: Eukaryota; Metazoa; Chordata; Amphibia; Anura; Pelobatidae.
CCACAUUUUUUUUCUCUUCCCUUUUCUCUUUCCAUAUCCAAACAUGUUUUAAUUAUCAUCUCAAAUCUCCUCUGCUCUUUUGUCCUCUCUACCUGCUUUUUUUUAUCUCUCUCCUUUUGUAUUUGUCUUUAUCCUGUCUUUUAGUCUCUUGUGUGCUGUUGUUGUUUAUUCUAAUUUUUUUCUCUAUCAUGUUUCUGAUGGUUUUCAUCCUUUCUGCACUAUGGCUCUCUUUCUUUUGUUUCACCUUCCUCUUGUUGUAUCCAUGCAGGAUGCUGGAGGGGUUCUGUAUGCCCAAUUAAAUAUGCCACCAAGUAACGAUGAAAAAUUAAAGAGAAAAACCCAACUUGAGAAGGAACCCCAAGUCCUCUAUGCUGCUGUUAAAACACCUCAAUCAGACAAUACAUAUGCUACGGUUAAUAAAAUAUGAGAUUAUUAUUAUUAUUAUUAUUAGUAGUACUAGUAAUAGGAUAAUUUAUGUGGUGAUAUUGUCAAAUAUAAAAUGUCCUGAGACAUGGUCAGGUUCUUUCUCUCCAGUUAGAGACACAUCUACAUGUUUUAAUUUUUAUUUUAUUCAACUAUUGGGAAAGUCUUGAGAAUAUCUGGGAAAUGUCUCAAAAACAUAAAUGUUAUCCACUUUAGUAGCUCUAGUCAGCCAGGUGGAACCAGAAUGUAUUUUCUUCUAAAUUGAAAACUGUGAGAUAAGGUCUGUUCUUCACUAAAAGACCACUUAUUAGUGGGGGUUCUAUAGGGAGGUAUGAAUGUGUAUGCUAUUGUGACAGAACCAACUGCCUGUGAAAUACUUUUAUUGUUCCCUCAUUCGUCUGUUUCUUCGGCUAUUUCCCUGUCCAUUCAGCCCCAAACGCUUGUUUCUUUUAUACCGAACAAUUCACCGAACGGCCGGCCACCCAGCAUGGAAGUGUGCUGCUGGUUAACCUUUUGGCCUCAUUAGAACAUUGUGGUUAACCGCAGACACUUCCUAAUUGUCAAACGCCGACCACGAGGUGGCGGCCAUCUUGGACAUACGAAUGCCGGUCCUUUCGGUAGUUUCUUUUCACGAAUAGACUUAUCCCAGAUUGCUGUACCAUGGAGCCCAUUCGUAUAACUAAAGACUAUGUGAAAGACUUUGGCUCCAUGGCGAUUGAACAGUGUGGGUAUAGGAUCUGAGCGCCAUUCGGUAAUAAUGUGCCCUCAGAUCCAAGCUAUCUGGGGAUGUGUUGAACGUAUCUAUUGCGUUCGGUAGUUUUUGUAUUAUGUAUUUUUAUGUAGUUUCAUUACUCUGUAUAAAAUGGAGUUUAGCCUCUGUCUUCGGAGGAUUUAUUCAUAUGGUGAUUCUCGUUCGGAUGUUUGGAGAGUGUAUGAUUCGUAUGGUUCCUGUUCGGCUGAUUGUUGUGAUCGGUAGUUGCCUUCAUAUUCGGGAAAGGAGCAUUUUACACGGUUUUAACCCUUUUUAUCCCAGGGGUAUCGUAACAACUAUCACUCCCAGUAUCAUGUGUGGCAUUGGGCUGGUACAACACUAGGUUUGAUCAUCUCUGGAGGGAGUAAAUGUAGAGCUGGGUUGCAUGCUAAUUAACCUAGGUGUCUGCCUAGGACCUGGCUUGUGAUGUUAAGCAUGUGUUUAAGCAAAGGGAGAUCAAAUGCAGCAAUUUCCUUCAUCUCCUUCUUAACUUGUGGUAAGGUAUUCCAAAAGAAGUAAAGAGAGACAGUGGGCUUUUGUGAAGGUCCUUAGGGCACAUAUUGCUAAUUUUAGCAUCUUUAUGCAUUGCUAUUGUUUUUAUAUUCCACCCUUUUAUAAUCAUGUUUGUAAUCUAUAUACCUUAUAAAUAGGAAAGUAAAACAGCAAACCAACACCUUAGUGCUGGUAUAUGACCACUUCUGAACAUGUUUAGAUCUUCUAUAUAAAAAGUAAUACACAUAAACAGAUUAUCAUCCUAAUAAUUUCAGGCAAGAUAUAUAUCACCCAUCUAUUCUUAAAGAAUAUAAUAUGAAAGGCUGCGUAGGAUGUAGUCAAUACACAGUGAUGUCUGGAUUGUAGGUGGGGUUUCCAGGGGACAUACGUCUCCCUUGUGCUGUAGGGAAUUAUAUGUAAAGACUAGCGAUAAGGCUCCAUUGGAAUCAAUAAGAGGUGGAUACAUGUUAAAUGAAGAAUAAUUCUACUAAAACUAGCUUUGUAACAGGAACAAAGUUAUAUUAUUUCCCUUGAUGAUCAUUAAACUCCUUCGAACCACGCUAUACAAAUUACAAGGCUUUUACAGAAUGUUAGCACUUUAGAAAUGCCAGUAAUAAAUAAAAUACUAGACUUUAAUGGAAAAGAGCACUAAGCACAAGUGAGCCUUUCUGGGUGUAAAUGUGAGUUUAACUGUCCUGCAUGUGAGCUCGAUAGGAUAAUAAUGAAAUUGAAUGAUCUAUGUUUGUUUGUAUGUACAUUUUGGGGGCUAUAUUGAUAUGUUGAGUUAUACAAUGUUUCUUUUUCUGUACUGUUCAAUUCAUACCUAUCUGACCAGCAAUAUACAGUAUUCAAAUAAAAUAUUUG